AUUGAACGCUGGCGGCAGGCCUAACACAUGCAAGUCGAACGAGUGGCGGACGGGUGAGUAAUGUCUGGGAAACUGCACGAUGGAGGGGGUUAACUACUGGAAACGGUAGCUAAUACCGCAUACCAUCGGAUGUGCCCAGAUGGGAUUAGCUAGUAGGUGGGGUAAAGGCGCACCUAGACGACGAACCCUAGCUGGUCUGAGAGGAUGACCAGCAACACUGGAACUGGGACACGGUCCCGACUCCGACGGGAGGCAGCAGUGGGGAAUAUUGCACAAUGGGCGCAAGCCUGAUCCAGCCAUCCCGCGUGUAUGAUGAAGUCCUUCGGGUUGUAAGGUACUUUUGGCAGAGAAGCGGUAUCUGCAGAAUAAGCACCGGCUAACUACGUGCCAGCAGCCGCGGUAAUUC
RNAcentral lists this ribosomal RNA (406 nucleotides) under uncultured bacterium. RNAcentral describes it as "partial 16S ribosomal RNA". It matches the Rfam family "Bacterial small subunit ribosomal RNA", at positions 30 to 526 of the family's 1533-position model. The record is from RNAcentral.